Molecule: non-coding RNA, 31 nt
Filed under: Mus musculus (house mouse)
Lineage: Eukaryota; Metazoa; Chordata; Mammalia; Rodentia; Muridae
Source: RNAcentral
UGUGAGUGAUGCCCUUGAUCCUGGGGAGCUU